RNAcentral lists this ribosomal RNA (774 nucleotides) under uncultured Neocallimastigales. RNAcentral describes it as "partial large subunit ribosomal RNA". It matches the Rfam family "Eukaryotic large subunit ribosomal RNA", at positions 20 to 644 of the family's 3401-position model. The record is from RNAcentral. Lineage: Eukaryota; Fungi; Neocallimastigomycota; Neocallimastigomycetes; Neocallimastigales.
UACUAGAGUAGCACUCGCAUAUCAAUAAGCGGAGGAAAAGAGACUAACAAGGAUUCCCCUAGUAACGGCGAGUGAAGCGGGAAGAGCUCAAAUUUGAAAUCUUAAAGGGUUUCCCUUUACGAAUUGUAGUUUAAAGAAGUGUUUUCUGUUGAGGUUUUGGUAAAAGUUCUUUGGAAUAGGACAUCAUAGAGGGUGAGAAUCCCGUAUUUGACCUUUACUUUCAACUUUGUGAUACACUUUCAAAGAGUCGGAUUGUUUGGGAAUGCAGUCCAAAAUGGGUGGUAAAUUUCAUCUAAAGCUAAAUAUUGGCGAGAGACCGAUAGCGAACAAGUACCGUGAGGGAAAGAUGAAAAGAACUUUGAAAAGAGAGUUAAACAGUACGUGAAAUUGUCAAAAGGGAAGCGUUUGACACCAGUGUUGUUUUUCUGAAAAUCAAUUAAAGAACUGUUUAUGCUAAGUUGUUUAGACUUUAUCAGCUAACCGUUUAGUUUUGAGCUUUUCUUUAAUGCACUUUUCAGUUAACAAGUCAACAUCAAUUUCUUUUGCUGUAAAAAAGCUUGAGGAAGGUGGCUUGAGAUUCGUCUUAAGUGUUUAUAGCCUCUUGCCUAUGCAGUCGGAGAGAUUGAGGUCUGCAGCGUAGAUCCUUCGGGGCUAAAUGCAUUUGUGCUAAGUCAUAGCAUUUUAUAGACAACUUGUUGACUAUGAUUUGUCUUGUAGCUUACUCGCUUAUGUUAUUUUACCUACGCUUAGGAUGUUGAACUACUGAGACAUAGA